UUGAGCGGAGAUUAUGGAGCUUGCUUUAUAUAACUUAGCAGCGAACGGGUGAGUAACACGUAGAUAAUCUAUCCUAUACUGGGGGAUAGCCCGAUGAAAGUUGGAUUAAUACCGCAUAUAGCUAUAUAGUUGCAUGAUUAUGUAGUGAAAGAUUUAUUGGUAUAGGAGGAGUCUGCGGCACAUUAGCUAGUAGGUGAGGUAAAGGCUUACCUAGGCGACGAUGUGUAGCCGGUCUGAGAGGAUGAACGGCCACAAUGGAACUGAGACACGGUCCAUACUCCUACGGGAGGCAGCAGUGGGGAAUAUUGCACAAUGGGGGAAACCCUGAUGCAGCAACGCCGCGUGAGUGAAGAAGGUUUUCGGAUUGUAAAGCUCUGUUAGCAGGGAAGAGGAAGGACGGUACCUGCAGAGGAAGCCACGGCUAACUACGUGCCAGCAGCCGCGGUAAUACGUAGGUGGCAAGCGUUGUUCGGAAUAACUGGGCGUAAAGGAUGCGUAGGCGGUUAAACAAGUUAUAUGUUAAAUAUAUAGGCUUAACCUGUAGAAAGCAUAUAAAACUGUUUAACUAGAGUGCAGGAGAGGUAAGUGGAAUUCCUAGUGUAGCGGUGAAAUGCGUAGAGAUUAGGAAGAACACCAGUGGCGAAGGCGACUUACUGGACUGUAACUGACGCUGAGGCAUGAAAGCAUGGGGAGCAAACAGGAUUAGAUACCCUGGUAGUCCAUGCUGUAAACGGUGGGUACUAGGUGUGGGUUGUGAAUAACAAUUCGUGCCGUCGGCAACGCAAUAAGUACCCCGCCUGA
Molecule: ribosomal RNA, 801 nt
Filed under: uncultured bacterium
Lineage: Bacteria
Description: bacterial SSU rRNA
Rfam family: Bacterial small subunit ribosomal RNA
Source: RNAcentral